Molecule: long non-coding RNA, 2690 nt
Filed under: Salvia miltiorrhiza (redroot sage)
Lineage: Eukaryota; Viridiplantae; Streptophyta; Magnoliopsida; Lamiales; Lamiaceae
Description: long non-coding RNA (SMIL_LNC007749)
Source: RNAcentral
CAAAUUGCUAGUGCGACAAUGAUAAUACAAGCCAACUAUCGCCAGGCCCACCAAUUAAAUUCCCUGUGAUGGGGGGAUAAUAGAGGAUACCUACAGAAACAAAUGUACAGAAAAAAGUUGACUAAUAAAGAAGCUCACAGCAAAGACAUAUGAUGAGCACACAUAUAUGAAACUGAGGACCACAGUGCCUCAAUCACACAACCAUGGAAUUUAAGUAACAUCGGUCCACAACCCUAUAAAGCUUGCAGACGAGGUUGACACUUUCAACAGAGCUCCCAUGCUAGACUGCGCCACCGGCUCAUGCAAUCAAGACAAAAACAUGAUACAUACUAUACAAAUACAAUACAUGUAUAUAUACAAUACAUGUAUAUAUACAACAAGGAGCUAGAAUGAGAGAUGCUCGUAUACCACACACCUGUCCUGCUAGUGGCACCACCUGUUUUAUCUGAUGUUAAAACAUAACAACUUCUUUUCAUCAAGCUUGGCUAGACUAACUAGUACAUCAAACUGGUGAAUGCAAUACUCGUAUUUAGGUGAUCACAUUAACUAAACAAUAAAGCUUUCUGCUAUAUAAUUAUUGCACAAAAAUCCAUUCACAUUGAACUUCAAGGAUAUUAGACAUAAGCCCCCCACCUCUCCCAAGUAUUUCAACAACACACAUGAAUGCUUCCAACUAUCCUUCAUAACUACAAACUGCAAACAUGUUUAGUGUUAGAGGAAUUCACUCUCUUAAUGUCUCCCCCUUUUAGUACUAUAAGAUGAGAAAGCAAUGUUUGUGCAGCUGAUUACUCUCUCAUUACCAAUAUUGUUGGAUGCUGAUAACAGCAAUCAAUUGAUAAAAUGAACAAACGCACAGAAUAGACGCUCAAGAAUUUAGAGCUCGUCCUUUGCAUUCCCUAAAUGCAACUGUACAUCACGUUUAUUUAGCUCAAACGAAUCUUCUCUGUACACGUUUCAAAAUGGAUAAAGGACUGCAUCAGUACUAAAUAGUCAAUUACCAACUUCUGUUGCUUCUAUAACAAAAUUAACUGUAUCACAGCCGUAUCUAAUUGGUAAUGGCAUAAGCAAGUACUGACAUAUUAUAUCAACCAAGAUAGUACUAAUAUGAAGGGAAGAAUUCAGUAUAGCAAACAGUACCUUUCUAGAGUUGUUGCGAGCAUUUAUGAAUAUAAAUUGGAUAGAUCUCUGCUACAGGAAUUGAUUGAGUACAAUGAAUUAAUUCACAACUGUGAAACCAUUGAAAAACGAGAAUUGAGUUAACCAGAAAUGGAGGGGCCAUCAAGCUUCCGUACUCCUAAUAAAACUCAAUACAUAAAACCCUAUAAUACACUAUGAACAUCUUAAAGUAAAGCAUUGCCAGAAACUAUCAAGCAAAUGGACUGGAUAUUUGAAAAUGUUGACAUUAAACGCUGUAUAAAUCUUAUUGAAAAUCACCCUAAACCUCUGCAGAGUGAAGGUUUUCUACGUUCCAUUGAUGGUACACAAGCAUAUGCCCCGCAUAUCAGUAAAGCACACUGUAAACUAAACGCAUGAACCUUUCAGCAAACGGAGGAGAAUGGGGAUAAUCUCUUCAACAUAUACAUGUUAGUACCUGUGACUGAAACAAAUGGCGUAUAUGUAAAUAGAUUCAAAUUGUAGCACCUGUGACUAAUCAUCUAAGCUCCUUAUGUCAAACUUUGGAGACAUAGUCCUCUUCGAUGCAUCGAGUAAGCAAUGGACUGCCAUACGGGAUGCUCUUGAAGCACAAUAACAGGAUGUCACGCGUGAACCUUGGAAGUGCAUAACCUGUAAAUCAUUUGGUAAUGAGUUCAAGAGGGAGUCUGACGCUUUCCUAGAAAAGCUGCAUUGGACAACAGAUUUGAAAGGUUAUCAAAACAGCUCAAGCUGCUCAACUGCUCUGGACAAUAACCCAACUGGGUUGGCCGCUUGGUGAUUUUCUGAAGGCGGCAAAGAUAGGUGCACUUAGAUUUUCUUGACGCUUCAAUUAAAACAUUGAUUUCAUCAAUGCCUAGUAAUCAAUGUAGCUUCCCAAUAAGGGAAAAAUGAUUCAUAGGUGGUGUUGAAAACCUAUAUUAGAUGGACUAAAAAAUGACUGAAUAUAUUUAUUUCUAAUGAUUGUGUCAUUAUUAGAGGGGAGUAUAUAAAUACAAGCCCAGAACUCAGAAUACAAAUAAUAUUAGAACUGUAAGGGGCAAAUAGUUAGCGAAAACCCAAAAGGUGAUGCACAAUUCAGAUUACUAAGAAGAGCUUCAUCCAUCGAGCAGUAAAAUCUAUCAUACAUAAUUUUGAUCCCCACAAAUCUCAAUCAGAGUUCAAGCACUACUGCAACAGAGCUAGGAGCUACGGCAACAGCAGAAUCGACAACGUAAAACUCCUUCAUAAACUAACACUAACGUCUCUAUAAUCAUGAAAAUCCACUACACUUGAAAUUUCAGACCACCCGAAUAAAAUUCAUUUGGUUAAACUAUAAUUAAACUAAUUCCAAUUACAGCUACAAACGAAAACUAAACAUCAAACAUCCGGCUCAUGCAUACUCCAACAGCACGCGUAGAAAAAUACCGAAGGGAAACAGGUAGAGAUUGCCUCAGAGACGUAUCAUCAAACAGUUAGUACGCGGAAUAGCUUCCUCUACUUGUUUGUUCAACUUUCAUUUCUCAGAAGGAUUUUCGAGAUGUUUCAAUAUGGACUUU